This 65-nucleotide transfer RNA is filed under the name Nepsalus caelestis. RNAcentral describes it as "tRNA-His". The record is from RNAcentral. Lineage: Eukaryota; Metazoa; Arthropoda; Insecta; Neuroptera; Myrmeleontidae.
AUUUAAAUAGUUUAAUUAAAAUAUUGACUUGUGGUGUCAAGGAUGUGAUGUUUUCACUUUAAAUA